Molecule: non-coding RNA, 1452 nt
Organism: Triticum urartu
Lineage: Eukaryota; Viridiplantae; Streptophyta; Magnoliopsida; Poales; Poaceae
Source: RefSeq, a predicted model, not a curated record
UGUCCUGUUUCGCCCUGAUCUAUCGCUAUGCCCGUAGGGGAUGGGAUGGGAUGGGUGGGAAAUGGAACGGGUCAGGAGUAGAGGGCAAUGCGCUUCUCCUCUGUUUUGCCGGUACUAACGAUAGGCAUUUUGUAGUACUACUAUACUAGUUAUAAGAUGAUUGUAGAUUUGGGGAGCCACCGUGGGAAGAAUUGCACGGGGAGGGGCAGGGAUCGCGGCACCAGAGGAGUUGGCCCCUCGGCUUGAAUUAAAUUGUGGAUUACGAUCUAGGUCAUUCAGCACACUAAACUAUUGUGUCAAAUAUGCCACCAUCCCUUUAAUUUGCACAUCCGGAUCACUACGCUAAACUAAACGGGUGACUGCACAUAGAAACCUUGCCACGUUGAACGGGUGUAUCAACAACUUAGCCUAGUUAUGUUUAUGUGUGGAGUAGUGGCGGAGCUUGAACGAGGAUGCUGAUGGGGCUAAGCUGAUCGACCUCUCCGGCGCGUAGAUAUUUAAGCUGGCGGACGGAGUGUCUGUGCGUGAGAGUGAGACGGCGGCUAAGGCUAGCGUGGAAGAGGUACUCUUCAGUUGCUUCAUUCGGUUUUACUUAGUUUUGUGUCCCUGUUGGAUGUACAUGUACCCCAAUUGAACAUGUGUGGUGCUCGCUUUGCCGAAUUUUCUGUUUAAGGAUUAGCUAUUGUAGGGCAGAUGCUAUGUAGAGAAUCAAUUAAUUUCCUCUAGAAAUGCUCGAGUGGUGAUUUGGCGAAAUUUGGAAAUACUAGUUCUGCAUCAUGGCAUGGAUACUUUUAAGGGAGAUAGCAUCUAUUUAUCCGGCCAAAGAGCAUAUGCGAAGCCUUUGAUUCGAGGUAAAAUGGUGCAUCGCCUCUCCCUACAAGGUGUCAGUUUUAGCAUCUAGUUCUGCAUCAUGGCUGUAAACUGAACUUGGUUCAGUUAAAAACUGCACUGUCAAAUCUGGACAACAAGCUUAUAUAUGAAAAAUGAGUUAGCUAGGCUCGGAAUUUUGAGUUGGCCUCUUUACAUAAGUUUUAGAUAAAGUUCCAAGGUUUCUUUAGAGUAUUUAUUUGUGUCGUUUGGAUGUACGGUUUGAGAGCAGCCAUCAGUUUAGUUUGCUGUCCUGAAAUAUAUGUUCCUGGGUACAGUAUUUUGAUAUGGGAGAUUAGGCCCUGUUAGAGGUGGUAUUAAAAUAAAGUUACAACAUGAAAAUUUUAGAGGCUGUUCUGUAGAUACUUAAACGCAUAUCACUUGUCAGGUUUCGUUCGGUAUAUUAAAUCCUAUGAAAUUAUCAAAGUGGGCUGUACUAUGUUGGACAAAAUUUUAUGUUUGGACUUGGGUGAAUGUAACCAGACUUAUACUCUCAGAUUUUCUCAUAGUUGAUGGUGUGAGGACUUAUAAUGUGAUAAAGUAUAUACGUUGUUGCAACACCAAAAUUAGUGAAAUAUAUUUCCU